CUAGUAGGAUGUAUCCAUCAGA
Molecule: microRNA, 22 nt
Filed under: Brugia malayi
Lineage: Eukaryota; Metazoa; Nematoda; Chromadorea; Rhabditida; Onchocercidae
Also listed under: 1 other name
Description: bma-miR-5842-3p
Source: miRBase by way of RNAcentral